GGAGACUUAGCUCAACUGGUAGAGCGUUGGACUCCAAAUCCAACGGUUGCGUGUUCAAGUCACGUAGUCUUCA
Molecule: transfer RNA, 73 nt
Organism: Ichthyophthirius multifiliis
Lineage: Eukaryota; Ciliophora; Oligohymenophorea; Hymenostomatida
Rfam family: tRNA
About the family: Transfer RNA (tRNA) molecules are approximately 80 nucleotides in length. Their secondary structure includes four short double-helical elements and three loops (D, anti-codon, and T loops). Further hydrogen bonds mediate the characteristic L-shaped molecular structure. tRNAs have two regions of fundamental functional importance: the anti-codon, which is responsible for specific mRNA codon recognition, and the 3' end, to which the tRNAs corresponding amino acid is attached (by aminoacyl-tRNA synthetases). tRNAs cope with the degeneracy of the genetic code in two manners: having more than one tRNA (with a specific anti-codon) for a particular amino acid; and 'wobble' base-pairing, i.e. permitting non-standard base-pairing at the 3rd anti-codon position.
Source: Rfam